RNAcentral lists this long non-coding RNA (355 nucleotides) under Rattus norvegicus (Norway rat). RNAcentral describes it as "long non-coding RNA NONRATT032777". The record is from RNAcentral. Lineage: Eukaryota; Metazoa; Chordata; Mammalia; Rodentia; Muridae.
AGACUUCAGAAUUCUCACAUUUUAAUGGGAAGUUAUGAAACAGUUGCUGUUUAUAGAACCCCAUACUCUGCAGAGAAAUGUAUUCCUCUUUCAAUGGACUAAAAGAUGAAAAGAAUGCUCCUAACGAAAAGGUCUACAGCUCUUGCUUUACAAUGUGAAUAAUUAACCAGCAUAAAAUUAUUUAAGGAGUCAAGUCUCAAGAGGCUGACACACCUGGGCUGAACCUGGAAGUCUCCAGGUUUUGAAUUUGCGAGGCGGCUUGAGCUAACCCUAGGGCACGAAGCUGAAGGGCAGCCAGCGCUGGGUAAGGCAACCUGGAGAGGGUAAGCUUUCAAACAAAGGAACCCCCCACUCC